CUAGUUUGGAUUCUAACCCAAUAGCCCUUCUCAAUGUCAUAUGCUGCUACCUUAUCACUUUCUGAAUAAACAUAAAACAUCCCAUUGCACACAACCCCCGAACAAGCUACUCCAAAAUCUACAGGCAGCCUCUGGAUCUCUGUCCAUUUAUUUGACAUGGAAUCAUAAAUUUCCCCUGAACCAGUCCCGAACAAGCUACUCCAAAAUCUACAGGCAGCCUCUGGAUCUCUGUCCAUUUAUUUGACAUGGAAUCAUAAAUUUCCCCAGAAUCCAGAGGCUCAUCCCAGCAUCCAAGACCCCCUACAGCAAACAAGAGAAAGCGUCUUUGAUCUUUAUUUGA
RNAcentral lists this long non-coding RNA (340 nucleotides) under Nicotiana benthamiana. Its description in RNAcentral is "long non-coding RNA (NBEN_LNC016987)". The record is from RNAcentral. Lineage: Eukaryota; Viridiplantae; Streptophyta; Magnoliopsida; Solanales; Solanaceae.